AUGUGUCCGUCCGUCCCCUUUCAAUACUUUAACGAAGUGAAAUCUCGUGCUGUUGGGUGUAAAAUCAGCAAUAAUCUCUCUGUGUGUGUGGCGUUUGAAUGUGCUCGCUGCAUUGCGUGUGAUGUUAAUCCUCUUCAUAAUUUAACCGUUUAUUUAUUUACGUGAUAUAUAUUUUUUUCAUAAUUUAACCGUUCAUUUAUUACGUGAUAUAUAUUUUUAUAAAAGUGCAAAAUAAAACAUGCAGGCACACAUCCCUCGUGUCCUGGCGGGCCCCGGGCCCAAGCGCAAGCGCAGGGCCUGCCUUGCCUGAUUUCGCUGCCGGACAAAAGCCCUCGUCGUCCCGGCGCUCCCCGGGCCCGCGCCAGGGCCUGCCUUGCCUGAUUUCGCUGCCGGAGAACUCGCGCGCCUUGCCGCGCGACGGAGUCCGGGUGAGACCGUGGUCUCUAAAGAGGAAGAUUUGUGAAGCACCAUGGAUGGGACAAUUCCAGUGAAGAUUGCUUCUUUGUGGUACAGAAAGAGCCGUCCUCGGACUGAAUUGUAACGUCAGAUCAAAUAAAUCUGCGAAACAUCAUCA
Molecule: long non-coding RNA, 574 nt
Organism: Petromyzon marinus (sea lamprey)
Lineage: Eukaryota; Metazoa; Chordata; Hyperoartia; Petromyzontiformes; Petromyzontidae
Source: RefSeq, a predicted model, not a curated record